CUGAGCACAUGUGGUCCCAGCUGCUUGGGAGGCUGAGGCAGGAGGAUUGCUUGAGCCCAGGAGUUUGAGGUGAGCUAGGCUAAUAAUUCCAGGGCAUUCAAGUCCUGGCAACAGGGGGCGACUCUGUCUCAAAAAACAAAACAAAACAAAAAACAAUAAAUGUCAGUGAAGACGUGGAGAAAUUGGAAUUCUCGUGCACUGGUGGAGGGAACAUACAAUGGUGUCACUGCUACGGAAGAUAGUAUAGGCAUUCCUGAGAAAAUUAAAUAGAAUUACUCUGUGAUCCAGCAGUCCCACCUCUGGGUUUGGGAUUCAAUACCCAAAGGUAUUGAAAGCACAAUCGCAAAGAGGUAUUUGUCCUCUCACGUUCAUAGCCGUGUUCUUCACAACAGCCGAAAGGUGGAAGCAACCCAAGUGUUCACCAGUGAAGAAUGGAUGAACCAAAUGUGGUCCAUACACACGGUGGACUAUUAGUCAGCCUUCAAAAGGAAGGAGAUUCUGACGCAUGCUACCACAUGGAUGAAUCUGGGGACAUUGUGCUGAGUGAUUACACCAGUCACCAAAGCUUGCAUAUCAAGCCCAGGAUGAAAGAGGAACCCUCAGCCUGUCCUGCCUUCCCCAGCAAAAGCAAGAUCACGGUGACCAUGUGAUCCUCUCGGUGUGGAGGGGCUGGCACCCGGGUCUAAGCAGUGCAGCGUCCUCAGGGUGACAGCCGAGGCCCAGGGCUCCAGCACUCUCCUGGUGAGCUACAAACAGGGCCACGUCGACCUGUGUGCCAGGAUCACCAUCGGGGCCUACCUGCCCCUCAAGGUUCCAGUCUCCAGCCACCGAGACCCCCUGGGGGACCUGGUUGCCUAUGACCAGCAGGGACACAGAUUCAAGAACUUCAGCUCUCUGAGCACCCACUGGGAGUCCUCCAGGCCGCUGCUGGCCAGCAUUGAGCUUGACCACCCACGUGUUGGUGUCCCAGCAGGACGGGAGCGGCCAAAAGAAGCUGCACGGUUGAAACUGCAAAUCAGGAGGAAGGGUUUGCUUCAGCGGUGGUGAUGGGGAGACAACCUGCAUCAGUUUCCCUCUUCCUCGACUCAGGUUUGCGGCCAUUUCAGUCCAUGAGGCAUCGGAACAACAGCCGUCACUGCCACCACGACUGGCUACCAGCUGUCCCACCUCAGCACGGCCAGAGUGAAGCAGCAGGUAUCUCCCAGGGCCCAGUGGUGGCAGAGGCCAUGGGCAAGGCCACGAGAUCUCCUGAUGCUGUCUGAAUUCUGCCCAAAUUCCACCUGGUGUCCAAGUGUCCUGAGAGCCCUCACUGGCCACAGCCCUCAGUCCCCAAAGUGCUCCCUGAACUGGGAGUGUGCUCACUGCCUGGGAUCUCCCCUUCCCCACUCCCCUUCCAUGUGGGCUCCUGGAGGAUCCACUGAAA
Molecule: long non-coding RNA, 1423 nt
Organism: Lemur catta (Ring-tailed lemur)
Lineage: Eukaryota; Metazoa; Chordata; Mammalia; Primates; Lemuridae
Exons: 4
Source: RefSeq, a predicted model, not a curated record